CACUUUUACCGUUCUCGUCGGCUUUGUACGCAGUCGUUGGCCUGGAAGCCAAUACGCAAAUUCGUAAGCUACUUGUAUUGGAAUUCCACCAAUCGGCAAUGAGGGUCGUUUCUUCUUUGGAUCACGCGGUAUUAGCACCUCGAGUGGAGUUUUGUUCGUUAUUUUUAUAAAUAAUUUUUUUAAAUGAACGUGGAGAAUAAAAAUCUGUUGUAAAACUUUUGCAACGCAAUAAAAAUAAUGGUUGAUUUCGCCAGUACUUUUUACAGGUAAGCUGUUCAUAUAUAUGUAUAUUUCUUAAUUAUAAAGUUAUAAAGACAUUAUUAUAUUUGCUAAAAAUGAUAAAAAAAAUAUAAUUCUAAAACGAAAGUUAUAAUCUUGCCCAUGUUUCGAUAAAAUAGGAAAAUUGGAUUCGAGUUACGCCAUAAGAGAUAAACAAUAACCAUGGCACGAAUUGUGUGUUCUUUGUUAAACAGUGAGAAGUUGGAUCUACAAAAAGUGUAGGGAAAUGAAGAAAAGUUGCAAAAAUGGAAAACCAUUCCAAGAAGACAGGUGGUGGUCUACCAACAAAAGAAGCUUUGACAACGUUAGAGGAAAAAUUAGUCUCUCUUUUUGGAGCUGCGCCGAUAGAUGGUAUCGAAGACACCCGAAAGUGAUGCGGAUUUUGUAAACACCAAGAAAAAAGAGAAAAUUCAAUUUAAUUAAUGAUGUAUCAAUGGAGUAUGGUAAUGAACAAAAGCAGAGUACAGAAGCAUUAAGUCAUAUUGGGGAUAUUCUAAGUAAAAAAAAUUAGCUAGGAGAAAGAAAUAUUAAAGCCGAAGAAAGAAAAGCUGCCGCAGAGGAAACAUUAACAGAAUUUAUAUCUGUAUAUUUAAAUAAUAAUAAACAUUAUAAAUAACGUGUAAUUUUAUUGUAAAUGAAGUUAUAGAGCCCCGGUUUCGUCUCCUAUCUGCUAAAAUAAAAGUU
This is a long non-coding RNA of Centruroides sculpturatus (bark scorpion), 963 nucleotides long. RefSeq lists it as uncharacterized. NCBI's taxonomy places the organism in Eukaryota, Metazoa, Arthropoda, Arachnida, Scorpiones, Buthidae. The record is from RefSeq and is a predicted model, not a curated record. The transcript is spliced from 3 exons.